Molecule: ribosomal RNA, 497 nt
Filed under: uncultured bacterium
Lineage: Bacteria
Description: partial 16S ribosomal RNA
Rfam family: Bacterial small subunit ribosomal RNA
Source: RNAcentral
GAUGAACGCUGGCGGCGUGCCUAAUACAUGCAAGUCGAGCGAACAGAUAAGGAGCUUGCUCCUUUGACGUUAGCGGCGGACGGGUGAGUAACACGUGGGUAACCUACCUAUAAGACUGGAAUAACUCCGGGAAACCGGGGCUAAGGCCGGAUAACUUUUAGAACAGCAAUGUUCUAAAGUGAAAUUUGGUUUUUCUAUCACUUAUAGAUUGACCCGCCCCUGAUUAGCUAGUUGGCUAGGUAACGGCUUAGCAAGGCAACGACACGUAGCCGACCCGAGAGGGUGAUCGCCCACACUGGAUCUGAGAAACGGUCCAGACUCCUACGGGAGGCAGCAGUAGGGACUCUUCCGCAAUGGGCGAAAGCCUGACGGAGCAACGCCGCGUGAGUGAUGAUGGUCUUCGGAUCGGAAAACUCUGUUAUUCGGAAAAAACAAAUGUGUAAGUACCUGUGCACGUCUUGACGGUACCUAAUCAGAAAGCCACGGCUAACUACGUG